AUUGAACGCUGGCGGCAGGCCUAACACAUGCAAGUCGAGCGGAUGAAGGGAGCUUGCUCCUGGAUUCAGCGGCGGACGGGUGAGUAAUGCCUAGGAAUCUGCCUGGUAGUGGGGGAUAACGUCCGGAAACGGGCGCUAAUACCGCAUACGUCCUGAGGGAGAAAGUGGGGGAUCUUCGGACCUCACGCUAUCAGAUGAGCCUAGGUCGGAUUAGCCAGUUGGUGGGGUAAAGGCCUACCAAGCGACGAUCCGUAACUGGUCUGAGAGGAUGAUCAGUCACACUGGAACUGAGACACGGUCCAGACUCCUACGGGAGGCAGCAGUGGGGAAUAUUGGACAAUGGGCGAAAGCCUGAUCCAGCCAUGCCGCGUGUGUGAAGAAGGUCUUCGGAUUGUAAAGCACUUUAAGUUGGGAGGAAGGGCAGUAAGUUAAUACCUUGCUGUUUUGACGUUACCAACAGAAUAAGCACCGGCUAACUUCGUG
Molecule: ribosomal RNA, 483 nt
Filed under: uncultured bacterium
Lineage: Bacteria
Description: partial 16S ribosomal RNA
Rfam family: Bacterial small subunit ribosomal RNA
Source: RNAcentral